UACGUAGGGGGCAAGCGUUGUCCGGAUUUAUUGGGCGUAAAGAGCGUGUAGGCGGCCAAGCAGGUCCGCUGUGAAAACUCGAGGCUCAACCUCGAGACGUCGGUGGAAACCGUUUGGCUAGAGUCCGGAAGAGGAUAGUGGAAUUCCCGGUGUAGCGGUGAAAUGCGCAGAUAUCGGGAAGAACACCCGUGGCGAAGGCGGCUCUCUGGGACGGUACUGACGCUGAGACGCGAAAGCGUGGGGAGCGAACAGG
Molecule: ribosomal RNA, 253 nt
Filed under: uncultured bacterium
Lineage: Bacteria
Description: partial 16S ribosomal RNA
Rfam family: Bacterial small subunit ribosomal RNA
Source: RNAcentral